Molecule: long non-coding RNA, 1626 nt
Filed under: Heterocephalus glaber (naked mole-rat)
Lineage: Eukaryota; Metazoa; Chordata; Mammalia; Rodentia; Bathyergidae
Description: lncRNA (ENSHGLG00000037610.1)
Source: RNAcentral
AUAAAUUUCCCUCUUAGCUCUGCUCUUACUGCAUUCCGUACCAUGGGUUGGCAACCUCCUGCAUCUCAUGCUGCACCAUCUAACACUGCCUUUGGCAGCCUCCAAUCUGAUGCUCAGGCUAUGCCUCCAUUCCCAUCAGUAUUCCAGCAAGUGAGAGCCAAUUCUUCAGAUUCCCACCAUCAAGCUGGAACUUUGAAGUGAAUCCUGGCAGUAAUCAGCAAAGCAUCUGUAUCCAUCCAUCUUUCACCCCCACCUUCUGACCUGGCAGAAGAAAUCACGAUGUUACCAUGGAAGACUCAGCAAUCCCAGACUGAAGCAAGAGCUUGUGCGUGUCUGAGGAGGGUGAUUCUGAGAAACCCAACAAGAGAAGCUUUGUGAAACCAAAACAAGCAGGUGCUGCUGAAAAGGCCGGUCACCUCUGUGGGUAGCAGAGGUAUCUCACUGAAAAUCUCUGGGGAGCUAUGGCCAGGGCCCCCAAGACUUAGCCAUCCAAGGGACAGACAAGGGGAGAAUUUAUUUCCUGGCUUUGUUCCCUCUUUGUUCUAUAGUCAUCUAUUUGGAGAUUAACUUUGCAGAUGUUGCAGAAGUCAGACGUGGAAAAAAGCAGAUGCUACUGGCCAGAAUUGGCGUGACAGCCAGGGCUGGAUAAGAGGCCACCAGAGGUGCCAGGCCACAGAGUGGGAAGGUGUGUCCUCAGAGUUGGACUGGAGUCCAUAGCUUUAGGGACAAGCUCUCAAAUGUUCAUCUUAACUUAUAACUCAUCAUCCAACCUCACAGAUCUGUUGAGGGUUUAGUAAGAAUGAAUACUACAGUGGUUUGUAAAACUGUGAGAACUAGUGAAUAUCAACUAGUCUUUCCCUGGUUGUAGGUGAUCAGCCCAAAGUACAAGAACAACAACAAAAAACCGUCUGACCCCUCUGUCAUCUGCCGUGUCUCUGCUCCCCACUUCUUGUGUCUUUUCCCUGUCCCCACAGACCUGACAGUGUCUCUUGGGGGAAUUAAAGACACUUGGAAGCUGCUACCCUGUGGAAGGGAAAGAAUAGUGUCUCCAAACAUGAAAGGAAAUUGUUCUCCUCAUAAGCAUCUUUUCCUAUAAUUGCAUCUUCCCUACUGCUCCAGCAAAUGAAGUUUAAAUAUUUAACAAGAAUGUCAGCACCAUUUGGGUGGCUGGGGCUCCCUGAAAAUGAGGCUUCAGGGGCCUGGAACCUGCAUAGACCAUGCCUGGGUUGUAGCAGGCUCUGUCCCCUCCCUCACAAGCGGGUGACCGGCCAUCAAGCACUUGGUCUGAGCUGUGACUGCUGCCCAACAUCUGCCACACAGAACCUGAUGGGGCUGCUGCCCUCAGCUGCCAGGAGUUGGGCCAUCUGGCAGGUGUCUGUUUCUCCAAACUGAAGAGUGCACAUAGCAUGGCACUGUGUUUAGUGGGGUGUGGGCCAAAUGCUGCUGCUACUCACCACCGAGAAAUGGGGGUGCUGGUCUUCAAGGCAGACAUAGCACCCCAACAGGCUGAGUGGCUUCUCCUGUCUCCUGACUUCUGCUGAUCUACCACUUUCUUUUCCAGAUAUUUUAUAAAGUAAUAAAAUAUCAAACUAUACUUACAAAGCAUAAGCAUAUCUGUAACUAUUU